AAGUCGUAACAAGGUUUCCGUAGGUGAACCUGCGGAAGGAUCAUUACCUAGAGUUGUAGGCUUUGCCUGCUAUCUCUUACCCAUGUCUUUUGAGUACCUUCGUUUCCUCGGCAGGCCCGCCUGCCAAUGGGGACCCCUUCAAACUCUUGCAAUAACCUGUAUGAAAUCGUCUGAACAAAACAAACAAAUCAAAACUUUCAACAACGGAUCUCUUGGUUCUG
RNAcentral lists this unclassified non-coding RNA (221 nucleotides) under fungal sp. RNAcentral's name for it is "partial internal transcribed spacer region". The stretch from base 1 to 46 matches the Rfam family "Eukaryotic small subunit ribosomal RNA", at positions 1786 to 1831 of the family's 1831-position model. Lineage: Eukaryota; Fungi. The record is from RNAcentral.